This 500-nucleotide ribosomal RNA is filed under the name uncultured bacterium. RNAcentral describes it as "bacterial SSU rRNA". It matches the Rfam family "Bacterial small subunit ribosomal RNA", at positions 28 to 536 of the family's 1533-position model. The record is from RNAcentral.
GACGAACGCUGGCGGCGUGCUUAACACAUGCAAGUCGAACGGACGAGUGAGAUAAGUUUACUUAACUCACAAGUUAGUGGCGGACGGGUGAGUAACACGUGGAUAAUCUACCUGCAACACCGGGAUAACGCUGUGAAAACGGUGCUAAUACCGGAUACGUUCCCUUGUGCGCAUGUAUGAGGGAAGAAAGCUCAGGCGGUUGCAGAUGAGUCCGCGGCUGAUUAGCUAGUUGGUGAGGUAAAGGCUCACCAAGGCGAUGAUCAGUAGCCGGCCUGAGAGGGUGAACGGCCACACUGGGACUGAGACACGGCCCAGACUCCUACGGGAGGCAGCAGUGGGGAAUCUUCCGCAAUGGGCGCAAGCCUGACGGAGCAACGCCGCGUGGGUGAAGAAGGCCUCGGUUGUAAGACCUGUCUUAUGGUAAGAAGUCAGUGACGGUACCAUAGGAGGAAGGCACGGCUAACUACGUGGCCAGCAGCCGCCGGUAAUGAGUAGUAACG